GGCUGAGACAUCGCUCCUCUCCUCCUCCCUGGAGCGGUGUCGAACAUACCGAAGGGUCUCUCUCCUCCUCCCUGAGACCCGAGGUAGAAAAAGACGGUGGCGCUCUCUCCUCCUCCCUGAGCGCCGCCGUUUUU
Molecule: small RNA, 134 nt
Filed under: Thioclava dalianensis
Lineage: Bacteria; Pseudomonadati; Pseudomonadota; Alphaproteobacteria; Rhodobacterales; Paracoccaceae
Description: Alphaproteobacterial ar14
Rfam family: Alphaproteobacterial ar14
About the family: Smr14C2 was renamed NfeR1 (Nodule Formation Efficiency RNA) highly expressed in salt stress and during the symbiotic interaction on legume roots.
Source: Rfam by way of RNAcentral